GGUGUAGCGGUGAAAUGCGUAGAGAUCUGGAGGAAUACCGAUGGCGAAAGGCAGCCUUCUGGCAUCAUAUUGACACUGAGGUUCGAAAGCGUGGGUAGCAAACAGGAUUAGAUACCCUGGUAGUCCACGCCGUAAACGAUGUCUACUAGUCGUUGGGUCCCUUGAGGACUUAGUGACGCAGCUAACGCAAUAAGUAGACCGCCUGGGGAGUACGGCCGCAAGGUUAAAACUCAAAUGAAUUGACGGGGGCCCGCACAAGCGGUGGAGCAUGUGGUUUAAUUCGAUGCAACGCAAAGAACCUUACCUGGUCUUGACAUAUCUAGAAUCCUGCAGAGAUGCGGGAGUGCCUUCGGGAAUUAGAAUACAGGUGCUGCAUGGCUGUCGUCAGCUCGUGUCGUGAGAUGUUGGGUUAAGUCCCGCAACGAGCGCAGCCCUUGUCCUUAGUUACCAGCGGGUUAAGCCGGGAACUCUAAGGAUACUGCCAGUGACAAACUGGAGGAAGGCGGGGACGACGUCAAGUCAUCAUGGCCCUUACGACCAGGGCUACACACGUGCUACAAUGGUAGGUACAGAGGGCAGCUACACAGCGAUGUGAUGCGAAUCUCAAAAAGCCCAUCGUAGUCCAGAUUGGAGUCUGCAACUCGACUCCAUGAAGUAGGAAUCGCUAGUAAUCGCGGAUCAGAAUGCCGCGGUGAAUACGUUCCCGGGCCUUGUACACACCGCCCGUCACACCAUGGGAGUUGAUUGCCCCAGAAGUGGAUAGCCUAACCGUAAGGAAGGCGUUCACCACGGUGUGGUUGAUGACUGGGGUG
RNAcentral lists this ribosomal RNA (812 nucleotides) under uncultured bacterium. RNAcentral describes it as "bacterial SSU rRNA". It matches the Rfam family "Bacterial small subunit ribosomal RNA", at positions 672 to 1482 of the family's 1533-position model. The record is from RNAcentral.